RNAcentral lists this long non-coding RNA (607 nucleotides) under Sorghum bicolor (sorghum). Its description in RNAcentral is "long non-coding RNA (SBIC_LNC001674)". The record is from RNAcentral. Lineage: Eukaryota; Viridiplantae; Streptophyta; Magnoliopsida; Poales; Poaceae.
AGGCUGGCAACGCACUAGCACAAACGUAGUAAUGAAAAACACUUUUUUUUAGGAUUAUAUGAUAUAGCCCCUCAAUAAAUUAAAACACUUCAAGCAUCGAUAAGAGUUUCACUUUUAUGAUGUGUGCUGUCGAGUUUCCCUAUAAAGGGAAUAACACAGUGGCGAAGCCAGAAGAUUUGAGGAGCCCGGGCAAUUCUCAUUAAACAAAAAUAUUUAACUAUAAAAUCACAGAAUUCUAUAUAAAUAUAAACAAGAUUUCUUUUAUAUUUUGGCGGAGAGUGGCUCCGCCAGUGGAAUAACAAGCUGUAACACGUCAAGUUUCCAGGUUUGAACUCAAUACGUACACACGAUUCCUUCAUCUAAAAAACCUACACGCGACUCCAUUUUGGGAGUCACUUUGGGUUCACGUUUUAGAACCUCAAAGGCCAUAGUUGUGACCUGCAGUGUGAGCAGGGUUAUUUCCGAAGAAAAUACAGAUUGGAAUUUUGUGAAUAUGAUUUCCUAUUUUUCUUUUCAGAAUGUUGACUGGACAUCAUUCUAUCGAGAACAUUUUGAUGGAACUUCGAUCGUCUGGACUCUGGAGAUGGCCCACCAAAAGAAAGAGGGG